AGUGAACGCUGGCGGUAGGCCUAACAUAUGCAAGUCGAACGGCAGCACAGUAAGCGCUUGCUCUUACGGGUGGCGAGUGGCGGACGGGUGAGGCAUACAUCGGAAUCUACUUUUUCUUGGGGGAUAACGUAGGGAAACUUACGCUAAUACCGCAUACGACCUACGGGUGAAAGCAGUGGAUCUUCGGACCUUUCGCGAUUGAAUGAGCCGAUGUCGGAUUAGCUAGUUGGCGUGGUAAAGGCCCACCAAGGCGACGAUCCGUAGCUGGUCUGAGAGGAUGAUCAGCCACACUGGAACUGAGACACGGUCCAGACUCCUACGGGAGGCAGCAGUGGGGAAUAUUGGACAAUGGGCGAAAGCCUGAUCCAGCCAUACCGCGUGGGUGAAGAAGGCCUUCGGGUUGUAAAGCCCUUUUGUUGGGAAAGAAAAGCAGCAGGUUAAUACCCCGAUGUUCUGACGGUACCCAAAGAAUAAGCACCGGCUAACUUCGUG
This 492-nucleotide ribosomal RNA is filed under the name uncultured bacterium. Its description in RNAcentral is "partial 16S ribosomal RNA". It matches the Rfam family "Bacterial small subunit ribosomal RNA", at positions 29 to 507 of the family's 1533-position model. The record is from RNAcentral.